Molecule: ribosomal RNA, 263 nt
Filed under: uncultured bacterium
Lineage: Bacteria
Description: partial 16S ribosomal RNA
Rfam family: Bacterial small subunit ribosomal RNA
Source: RNAcentral
GUCCACGCCGUAAACGUUGGGUGCUAAGUGUCGGCGGGUUACCGCCGGUGCCGCAGCUAACGCAUUAAGUAUUCCGCCUGGGAAGUACGGCCGCAAGGUUGAAACUCAAAGGAAUUGACGGGGGCCCGCACAAGCGGUGGAGCAUGUGGUUUAAUUCGACGCAACGCGAAGAACCUUACCCAGGCUGGACAUGCAGGUAGUAGAAGGGUGAAAGCCCAACGAGGUAGCAAUACCAUCCUGCUCAGGUGCUGCAUGGCUGUCGU